AACGUUCUACAGUUCCAAACCAAGCAGGGCUGUCAAUCUGUUUGCAUGGGUUUUCAGCUAUUUUAGGUAAAUAUUAGCUUGUAAUGGGAAUUGAUCACUAUACUUACUGGGUUUAUAACGUUUUUUUUUACUAGGGAGUGAUGGAAAUACAGUACAUCAGUUAAUAAAGAUAAACAGUUAAUUGUGACCCAAAUAUAACUGUGGUUAUCUAUACCAACUACAGCAACACAGUUUAUCUUUUAUUUUUGUACCAAAAUAUGGCUAUAUAAAUGGCUAUCAAUCUGCUAAAACAUAAUUCCUACACUUUUACUAUAUUAAAAUCACAAAAAAGAUCGCCAACGCGGUUAUUUGUAACAGUGAAGCAUAACAGAAACACACUAAAUUCAUAUUUUAAAUUCACAUUAAAUGUUAAUAUAAUCAUACAUGAUUUUCCAGGAUACAUCACUCGUAUUACUUACCAAACACAAUGAAACACAUAGCAGCAUUGUGAAGCAGUGUGACUUUCUUAUAAGGCAUUUAGCUUGUCGCUGUUGCCCCCUAGUGUUACUCGUAAUAUAUAAAAAAGAUAAGUAUAAAGUAGAUGGCCACCAGUAAUAAAAUAUUAAACCAUUAAAUCUAUAUUAUUCACACAUUAUACACAACUCAUUAAAAUAUAAAAAAUUACUAGUUAUUAUUAACGAUAAUCAUUACCUACAGCAGAGUUCAUAAAAUAUCACUGUUGACUAUAUUAAUGAAAUGUCCGAAAAUGUAAAGAGAAACGGUAAUUUCAUCGAUUUACCAGCAGGUGCCAUUGAAAUGAAUGGGCUUCAGUGCUGCGUUUGGAACUAUGCGUCACUACCGGUCACUACAUGAAACGCUUUUACUUCCGCAUUCCAUUCUUACAACGGACGUCUAUGUGAGUGUCGUAACUCUAUUAUUAUACGACUCUGGGUGGGUUAAACGUAUUGGGUUGUUCUGUUGGGUUAUUCCUAGCUUGUAUUGGGUUAUUUCCAUAACAACCCAGAGAGUUGGGUUAAAAUCGGGCUCACGUCACGCAUUUUGAAUUUCAACGGUUGACCGGUGCCACUGCUGAGUGCGGACAGACACGAGAGACAUUCUUGGAGAUGUUGCAUUAAAAACCUUACAAAAUGGCCAGCAAGAUGAUUCAGCCUUCCUACAGUACCAAGAGGCAAAGCAAACAUUUAUUAAUUUGCAACCUGUCAGAAAACAAACAUAAUUCAGUAUUUGGAGGAGGAGGUAUGACGAAGACCCCAUGUCCUCCUAUGGGAUGAAUUCGACUAAUCACAAGCCUUUGUUAUCGUGGGGAGGCAUGGCCCUGGAGCAAGACCAGCAGUUGACAUGUGCUUUAAUUUUUUUUUUUUACAUUUUAUACAGAGUAUCCCAAGCCUUUCACUACUGUUAAGUAGUUUCUGUAACACACAAUACAUUUUGUACCAUGUGAUGUUUCCUGAACACACUGUCACCUGCUUAAAGGGACAGUUCCCCCAAAAAUGAAAAUUGUCAUAAUUUUCUUCCUCUCCUGUCGUUACAAACCUGUACACAUUUUUUUGUUCUGAUGACCACAAAGGAAGAUAUUUUGAGUAAUGUUUGAAACCAAACAGAUCAUGAGCCCCAUUGACUGUCAU
Long non-coding RNA from Paramisgurnus dabryanus, 1625 nucleotides. RefSeq lists it as uncharacterized. Lineage: Eukaryota; Metazoa; Chordata; Actinopteri; Cypriniformes; Cobitidae. The record is from RefSeq and is a predicted model, not a curated record.